This 519-nucleotide ribosomal RNA is filed under the name uncultured bacterium. RNAcentral describes it as "bacterial SSU rRNA". It matches the Rfam family "Bacterial small subunit ribosomal RNA", at positions 29 to 518 of the family's 1533-position model. The record is from RNAcentral.
AGCGAACGCUGGCGGCGUGCUUAACACAUGCAAGUCGAGGGAGAACGGAGGGCUUCGGCCUUCUUAGUAAACCGGCGCACGGGUGAGUAACACGUAGGUAACCUACCUCCGAGUUCGGGAUAACCUGUCGAAAGAUAGGCUAAUACCGGAUAAGACCACGAUGGUUUCGGCCACUGCGGUCAAAGAUGGCCUCUAUUUAUACGCUAUCGCUUGGGGAUGGGCCUGCGCACCAUUAGCUAGUUGGUGAGGUAAUGGCUCACCAAGGCUACGAUGGUUAGUUGGUCUGAGAGGAUGACCAGCCACACUGGGACUGAGACACGGCCCAGACUCCUACGGGAGGCAGCAGUGGGGAAUAUUGCGCAAUGGGGGAAACCCUGACGCAGCGACGCCGCGUGGGUGAUGAAGGCCUUCGGGUCGUAAAGCCCUGUCGGAGGGGAAGAAGGACUCUCGUGCAAAUAGUGCGAGGGUUUGACGGGUACCCUUAGAGGAAGCACCGGCUAACUCCGUGCCAGCAGCCGC